GACGACGCUUGCGGCGUGCCUGAGAAAUGCAAGUCGAGCGGGGUGUAGCAAUACACCUAGCGGCGAACGGUCGAGUAACAACGUAAGCAACCUGCCCUGCAGGUGGGGGAUAACAGCGGGAAACUGCUGCUAAUACCGCAUAGGCAUUAUUUCGUGGGCAUCCAGGGAUGUGUAAAGGCUAGACUGCUGCAGGGAGGGGCUUGCGGCCUAUUAGCUAGUCGGUGGGGUAACGGCCUACCGAGGCGACGAUGGGUAGCUGGUCUGAGAGGAUGGUCAGCCGGAUCGGGACUGAGACACGGCCCGGACUCCUACGGGGGGCAGCAAUCAGGAAUAUUGCGCAAUGGGGGAAACCCUGACGCAGCGACGCCGCGUGCGGGAUGAAGGCCUUCGGGUCGUAAACCGCUGUUGUGGGAGACGAAUGACUGUCGAUGAGGCAGUGGAGACGGUAUCUCACGAGGAAGCCCCGGCUAACUACGUG
This 478-nucleotide ribosomal RNA is filed under the name uncultured bacterium. RNAcentral describes it as "bacterial SSU rRNA". It matches the Rfam family "Bacterial small subunit ribosomal RNA", at positions 33 to 507 of the family's 1533-position model. The record is from RNAcentral.